AUUUGCAUGGUGCUUUUGACUGGAGCAUCGGGGAGGUCCAGCCUUGCUGUGCAGUCAGAGAUAGCGCAGUGAUGUGUGUCCUCUCCUCCCUCACCCCACGUCUGGCGGUUGCCAAAGCUAUGUGAAAAGAAAUGGAUAUACAGAAGAACACUUUCAUUUGUUGUUAUGUCAAGUGAAGAUGUAACAUGAGCAACAUAAGGAUGUUUACUGAUGCGGGGGCCACCAGGCACAGAGUGCUGGAAUUUUGCUUAAAGGAAGCAAGCCAGAUGGGAAGAGAAAAGAAAUCCCAAGCUGUCAAGUGUCACAUCGCUACAGAAGAAUGACAUGUUCUGAGUGAAUCUGCAGAAACAUCCCACUAGUGACUGUCCACCAGCAUUGCCUGCAGGGUCCCAAGGAACCCCAUAGGGACAGCAAGCAACUUUCAGCUACAAAUCUUCAAAUCUGAAGUGCUACUACCAGCCUGUCUUCUCAGGUAGAUAAUCACCAAUUUUAAAACAAAUUAUAUUAUUCUCCCACUCCUAAAUUAAUGUACCGAUGUGGUUUAGAUUCUGGGGAGCUGUGCUGUCUGUCACUUGUGUGCAUUAUUGAAGUCUAAACACUGCACUCAAAAUUAUAACACGAUUAAACUUUG
RNAcentral lists this long non-coding RNA (631 nucleotides) under Anser brachyrhynchus (Pink-footed goose). RNAcentral's name for it is "lncRNA (ENSABRG00000002921.1)". Lineage: Eukaryota; Metazoa; Chordata; Aves; Anseriformes; Anatidae. The record is from RNAcentral.